UGAUCCGACGACGUCCUCUCCCAAACAGCGCCCUCUCUCCAACGACAGCCAUGCUCCCUCCCGACGAUGGCCUUUCUCUCUCCACUCUCGUGACCUCUCUCUUCCCGAAUCGCGCUCUCCUGAGGACUGAUUCUGCUCGGCUUUCGCCAUCCCUCCGUACUUGCGACCGAGAAGCAAUCAGCUCUUCUCUCUUGUCUAAUCUUCCAUCGACGACUUGCUUCCAUGCUCUGCUCUGCUCUGCUCAAUGCUGUGUCUCCCGAGAAGCCCUAAAUCUACGAGGAUAAGCCCCGCCUUUCAGGGGUGGUUCUUGCAUAAAGGCGAAGCGGUCGCUCUAUUUUCUCGUCUAAUCUUCGAUGGCUCGGUCGGCUCGGCUUGGCUCAAAGCCGUCCCUCUCGAGAAGUCUGGUGUAUUGCUGUGAGAAUUUUUGUGAGAAUUCUCUGCUGAGACAAGUAUCUAGUCUUCUCAGAAGAUUGCUAGCUAUUGAAUCAGGGAAAUUUCAGGACGACUUUUGAUGGAGUACAAUGAUACGUUGCUGAUUACUUACCUGGCCAUGCUCACCAAUCGCUCGAGGCUUCAUUUCAGAAACUCAGAUAAUACUUCUCCUCUUUGCAGCACAAUGAAUGAGCUAAUUGACAAAUUCAACACCGCUUAUGACAGACACGGUAGGAGGGGAGAAAGGACCCCUUUUGUUUGAAAGAUUCCUUUUCUCUAUCAGACCGCCUUCAAUUGAUUAUGGUUCUGCAUCUCUCCUAGCAUUGCGCUUGAUUUGUGGCCUACUGUCUAAGUCUAGGCUUGUGCAUGACGCAGGCGAUCAUGGCCGAUGCAUAUCAAGCAAGUUUCCUUACGGAGGCUCAUACCACAUAGAAGAUGGGAUCAGGGACAUGAAAUCAAAAUUUAAUAGAACACUUUAUACAUUCGCAUUUUACUGCGGUUCUCACUAUUUGCUUGGGAUGUUCCCACCCUCCUGGGCAUUUCGUGUUUCCUGGGGCUAACGAUAGUGAAGUAGGGAACCUUGCUGCAAGAUUUUCAUAUUUUACAGGCAUGUUUUGACCUUUUGGUGUUGCCCUGAGAUGAUGGUCCUGGUAUAGCUUAUGGCAUCUUGUAGUGAUUCUAUAUAUUUAACUUUAUGGAUUUUGAGCAUUGUUGCCGAACUUGAAUACUUGGUCCUGUGUAAGGCUCCUACGUUCGCUUCUGUUUUCCAUCUCUUUUAUCCAAUAACUUUGGUAACUUGCUACGAUGAAGGGGCAAAUUCUUGUAUG
Eucalyptus grandis is the source of this 1259-nucleotide long non-coding RNA. RefSeq lists it as uncharacterized. The transcript has 5 exons. The record is from RefSeq and is a predicted model, not a curated record. NCBI's taxonomy places the organism in Eukaryota, Viridiplantae, Streptophyta, Magnoliopsida, Myrtales, Myrtaceae.